CGGGGCUUAUGUCUUGUAAUUGGAUGAUGGGAAUUUAAACCUCUUCCAGAGUAUCAAUUGGAGGGCAAGUCUGGUGCCAGCAGCCGCGGUAAUUCCAGCUCCAAUAGCGUAUAUUAAAAUUGUUGCAGUUAAAAAGCUCGUAGUUGAAUUUCUGCUGCAUUGCAUUUUCUCCUAUACGAGUUUUUGCAUUGUGGCUUAUUUCGGUUAUAAAAUUUAUUUUUAUUUCCGGAUGUUUACUUUGAGAAAAUUAGAGUGCUCAAAGCAGGCUUUUGCCUUGAAUAGUUUAGCAUGAAAUAAUAAAGUAGGACUUUGGUUCUAUUUUGUUGGUUUUAGGUACCUUAGUAAU
RNAcentral lists this ribosomal RNA (346 nucleotides) under Theileria capreoli. RNAcentral describes it as "SSU rRNA". It matches the Rfam family "Eukaryotic small subunit ribosomal RNA", at positions 486 to 866 of the family's 1831-position model. Lineage: Eukaryota; Apicomplexa; Aconoidasida; Piroplasmida; Theileriidae. The record is from RNAcentral.